This 233-nucleotide ribosomal RNA is filed under the name uncultured bacterium. Its description in RNAcentral is "partial 16S ribosomal RNA". It matches the Rfam family "Bacterial small subunit ribosomal RNA", at positions 100 to 334 of the family's 1533-position model. The record is from RNAcentral.
CGGGACGGGUGAGUAAUGUCUGGGAAACUGCCCGAUGGAGGGGGAUAACUACUGGAAACGGUAGCUAAUACCGCAUAACGUCGCAAGACCAAAGAGGGGGACCUUAGGGCCUCUUGCCAUCGGAUGUGCCCAGAUGGGAUUAGCUAGUAGGUGGGGUAAUGGCUCACCUAGGCGACGAUCCCUAGCUGGUCUGAGAGGAUGACCAGCCACGCUGGAACUGAGACACGGUCCAG